This 467-nucleotide ribosomal RNA is filed under the name uncultured bacterium. RNAcentral describes it as "partial 16S ribosomal RNA". It matches the Rfam family "Bacterial small subunit ribosomal RNA", at positions 28 to 507 of the family's 1533-position model. The record is from RNAcentral.
GACGAACGCUGGCGGCGUGCUUAACACAUGCAAGUCGAACGGAAAGGCCUCUUUCGGGGGGUACUCGAGUGGCGAACGGGUGAGUAACACGUGAGUAACCUGCCCUUGACUUUGGGAUAACUUCAGGAAACUGGGGCUAAUACCGGAUAGGAGCUCCUGCUGCAUGGUGGGGGUUGGAAAGUUUCGGCGGUUGGGGAUGGACUCGCGGCUUAUCAGCUUGUUGGUGGGGUAGUGGCUUACCAAGGCUUUGACGGGUAGCCGGCCUGAGAGGGUGACCGGCCACAUUGGGACUGAGAUACGGCCCAGACUCCGACGGGAGGCAGAAGUGGGGAAUAUUGAACAAGGGGUGGAAGCCUGAUGCAGCAACGCCGUGGGCGGGAGGACGGCCUUCGGGUUGGAAACCGAUUUCGCUCAUGACGAAGCUUUGUGUGACGGUAGUGGGUAAAGAAGCACCGGCUAACUACGUG